This 468-nucleotide ribosomal RNA is filed under the name uncultured bacterium. RNAcentral's name for it is "partial 16S ribosomal RNA". It matches the Rfam family "Bacterial small subunit ribosomal RNA", at positions 28 to 507 of the family's 1533-position model. The record is from RNAcentral.
GACGAACGCUGGCGGCGUGCUUAACACAUGCAAGUCGAACGGAAAGGCCCUGCUUUUGUGGGGUGCUCGAGUGGCGAACGGGUGAGUAACACGUGAGUAACCUGCCCUUGACUUUGGGAUAACUUCAGGAAACUGGGGCUAAUACCGGAUAGGAGCUCCUGCUGCAUGGUGGGGGUUGGAAAGUUUCGGCGGUUGGGGAUGGACUCGCGGCUUAUCAGCUUGUUGGUGGGGUAGUGGCUUACCGAGGCUUUGACGGGUAGCCGGCCUGAGAGGGUGACCGGCCACAUUGGGACUGAGAUACGGCCCAGACUCCUACGGGAGGCAGCAGUGGGGAAUAUUGCACAAUGGGCGGAAGCCUGAUGCAGCAACGCCGCGUGCGGGAUGAAGGCCUUCGGGUUGUAAACCGCUUUCGCCUGUGACGAAGCGUGAGUGACGGUAAUGGGUAAAGAAGCACCGGCUAACUACGUG